Podarcis lilfordi (Lilford's wall lizard) is the source of this 246-nucleotide non-coding RNA. NCBI's taxonomy places the organism in Eukaryota, Metazoa, Chordata, Lepidosauria, Squamata, Lacertidae. The record is from the annotation of a GenBank genome assembly.
GAGAGAGAGAGAGAGAGAGAGAGAGAGAGAGAGAGAGAGAAAUUCACAACAGUUUUUAACUCUGAGUUGAAACUGGUGUGUUAUUUAGGAUAACAGUGACAACCCAGUCUCCACUUCAAAUCACAUAUUGUGAUUCCUCAGGAAUACCCAUGGCUCAUCUUGGAUCAAGGGCAGAACUUUGAACCUUUUGGGAAGAUUUCUGCCUGUGACACUCUCUCUCUCUCUCUCUCUCUCUCUCUCUCACAC